GAUGAACGCUGGCGGCGUGCCUAAUACAUGCAAGUCGAGCGAACAGACGAGGAGCUUGCUCCUCUGACGUUAGCGGCGGACGGGUGAGUAACACGUGUAUAACCUACCUAUAAUACUUGGAUAACUUCGGGAAACCGGAGCUAAUACCGGAUAAUAUAUUGAACCGCAUGGUUCAAUAGUGAAUGACGGUUUUGCUGUCACUUAUAGAUGUAUCCGCGCCGCAUUAGCUAGUUGGUAAGGUAACGGCUUACCAAGGCAACGAUGCGUAUCCGACCUGAGAGGGUGAUCGGCCACACUGGAACUGAGACACGGACCAGACUACUACGGGAGGCAGCAGUAGGGAAUAUUCCGCAAUGGGCGAAAGCCUGACGGAGCAACGCCGCGUGAGUGAUGAAGGUCUUCGGAUCGUAAAACUCUGUUAUUAGGGAAGAACAAAUGUGUAAGUAACUAUGCACGUCUUGACGGUAACUAAUAAGAAAGCCACGGCUAACUACGUG
RNAcentral lists this ribosomal RNA (497 nucleotides) under uncultured bacterium. Its description in RNAcentral is "partial 16S ribosomal RNA". It matches the Rfam family "Bacterial small subunit ribosomal RNA", at positions 28 to 507 of the family's 1533-position model. The record is from RNAcentral.